This is a non-coding RNA of Caenorhabditis elegans, 21 nucleotides long. The record is from Ensembl. NCBI's taxonomy places the organism in Eukaryota, Metazoa, Nematoda, Chromadorea, Rhabditida, Rhabditidae.
UUUAGGACCGUUUGUGAUGAU